This is a long non-coding RNA of Ornithodoros turicata, 863 nucleotides long. RefSeq lists it as uncharacterized. The transcript is spliced from 3 exons. The record is from RefSeq and is a predicted model, not a curated record. NCBI's taxonomy places the organism in Eukaryota, Metazoa, Arthropoda, Arachnida, Ixodida, Argasidae.
GCUCUGAUUUUGAGAUCACGUUAUCAGUGCUGUUUUCAGGGAAUAUCCCGAGAUGGAAUGUUUUAGCGUAACGGAAUUCAAGUGAAGCGAUUGUGUCGUGGCUACUAAUUUUGCUAUUCUUAGUACAAAGCCUAACUCUGACCACGACGGAGGCAACCACUCGGGAAGUUUUCGUUGAUACGACGGCGAUUACUACGACCAUGGUGCCAACUAAGACUAGCCACACCACGGCGACUACGACCACAGCGCCAAUUGAGACUACUACUACGACUAUCACCACGACUAGCACUACUACGACCACCACUACAACAUCAACGACGACUACUACUACGACGACUACGACCACGACGACUACGACAACAACCACGACGACUACCACCACAACAACGACUAUUACUACCGCCACCUUGAAACCACGUAAGUGGUUUAUAUUGUGAAUCCUUGACAUUGACGAUUAUCGCUGCAGAAGUGUCGUUUGUACGUUGUGAAUUCUGUUCACUGCGUCACUGCUAAUCCAUAAUGUUCUUUCAUGCCCAGCUUGCCUCAUAAGUUUCUUGCUUGCGUCAGUUCAGUCGUUCAGGCAAUAUUUCACCCACUGGAUGAUGUGUGUUACUUCAUGUUCUUCACGGUCUCAGACAUCAAUCAACUAAAAAACAAGAAUCUCGGUCUUGCGAGAAGCAAAAUUGGUAUCGACAUACCGAGCUCAAAAGCAAACGCUAAUCAGGGCAAACUUCAAAAUUCCAUCGCAGCGUACUGGCCAAAGAUCAGAGACUUCGCUGUCCUGGACAUGGAACUCCGUCCAAGUGUUUCAACUUAUGUCGGUCAUGUCGAAGCACUUCUAACAGCGUUGACUGAAUUCUUUC